CUGGGAUCGGCUGGCCUGUUCUAAGACAAUGUAGUGCUGCAGUGGGAGGAAGCUGACACAGACAGACACGCAGGGAGGUGCGGCAAGGAGGACAGCAGAGUGACCGAGGACCCGCCCUCCAAAAGUGUGCUAGAGCACGAGUCAUCUCCUAGGCCGUCCCCUCCAGUUUUAAACAGUAAAGGAGUUCUGAAAACAAAGAAGAAUCACUGUUCUAGAUAGAGUGCAGGGCUCCUACAGAAACACCAAGUCCAAGGGAGUCUGAGGAGUCUGCCCAGAGAUGAUCAGGCUGAAUGAGGCUACCUGCGGAGGACUCUUCAUGCUCCUCCUUACCGAACCUCUGCAACUCACACCAUGUGGAAGCACAUAGGACACAGCACCAAAGUCUAAAGCAGAAAGCAUGUAGAUCCCAGAGGUACAGCACAGGCUCCUAAGAAAGAACCCACGGUGGCUGAGUUUUCGGAUGUGCGCUUGUCAUCUGCCUACAGGAACUGGGGGGAAUCAGCCUCUAAGAAUCAUUUCAGGUGCAGGGAGUAAACUCAUACUGUGAACUACUUUGCCGUUAUGUACUGUUACCAUCUGUCUCAGGGGCAAAACCAUUCGCUGGGCCCAAUUCUCA
RNAcentral lists this long non-coding RNA (616 nucleotides) under Heterocephalus glaber (naked mole-rat). RNAcentral describes it as "lncRNA (ENSHGLG00100050961.1)". Lineage: Eukaryota; Metazoa; Chordata; Mammalia; Rodentia; Bathyergidae. The record is from RNAcentral.